GCCUCUGUAGCUCGGUUGGUUAGAGCGCUGCACCGGAAUCGCAGGGCCGUAGGUUCAAUUCCUACCAGAGGAC
Molecule: transfer RNA, 73 nt
Filed under: Paramuricea clavata
Lineage: Eukaryota; Metazoa; Cnidaria; Anthozoa; Malacalcyonacea; Plexauridae
Rfam family: tRNA
About the family: Transfer RNA (tRNA) molecules are approximately 80 nucleotides in length.
Source: Rfam by way of RNAcentral